Trifolium pratense (red clover) is the source of this 2203-nucleotide long non-coding RNA. RefSeq lists it as uncharacterized. NCBI's taxonomy places the organism in Eukaryota, Viridiplantae, Streptophyta, Magnoliopsida, Fabales, Fabaceae. The record is from RefSeq and is a predicted model, not a curated record. The transcript is spliced from 8 exons.
AUUGUCACACUUUGUCCCUUCUCCCUCUUCUCUCACGCAUACUCCCUCUUUUUCUAACUCAUUCAUUAGUUUCAAGAUCCACUCAUCUAAAGCAGCAACUUUUUCUCUCCCAAGGUCACAACAACAAUAACUCUCACCUCUCUCGCCUCCAUCUUCUUUAACAAGCAUAGCCCAUUUCCACCAUAACCAAAUUAAAGUCUAAGGUUUAGCUUUUCUUCUUGAUGUGAUUUUCGGAAACCUUAAUAGAAAUCCCAAAAGUUAAGGUUUCCCUCUAAUUUAUGUUAUGGCAAGUUAACCACCAAACCUCCUCCUCUCAAAUUAACUCAAGGCUCUAAUCAAGUGAUGGAAAAGUGGAUAUGGAGUUGAGCUAAUGAUUAUUCAGAAUUUAACGGUAAGAUUACAAGAUCUUCUUCUUACCCUUAAUUUCCAAUAUUUCUUUCCCUUUUUUGGAUCUAAACUCAUAAGUUCAUUUACUCCUCAAAUUGAUACUGCAUGUGUGUUUAUACUCGUGUGGAGAACGGGAAACAUUGUAAGAAAUAUGGAUUUCAAUAGUCAAGAGACCAUGGGUUUGGUUAUUCCAAGUUUUGGAGGAGAUUAACUGAUUUUCGUAUUCAAGGAUAGACCUGCACUAAAAAAGGUUUAUGUUUUGUGGCUGCAAAAUCUGUAUUUCGGCGAGCUCCGAAGAUGUCAUUAGCAUGGUUCAGGCGUCAUUUUCAGGGAUGGUGUCAGUGAGUCCCAGUUUAACCAAGUGUUGAACAUUGAACUGAGCCAAGUCAUUGAGGCUUGUAAAUUUCUGGAUGAAGCCUGGAAUCCCAAGUUUUUGGUGAUUGUUGCCCAGAAGAACCAUCACACAAAAUUCUUCCAGCCUGGAUCCCCAGAUAACGUGCCACCUGGAACUGUUGUUGACAACAAAAUUUGUCAUCCUAGAAAUUACGAUUUCUAUCUGUGUGCUCAUGCAGGAAUGAUUGGCACAAGCAGGCCAACACAUUAUCAUGUUCUUUUGGAUGAGAUUGGCUUUCCCCAGAUGAUUUACAGGAGCUUGUGCACUCACUUUCUUAUGUUUAUCAGCGGAGCACCACUGCUAUUUCUGUUGUUGCUCCAAUCUGCUAUGUGCACUUGGCUGCUUCCGAGGUUGGACAGUUCAUGAAGUUUGAGGAUAAGUCUGAAACUAACUCCCGCCAUGGUGGUGGUAACAAUGCCUCCCCUGUCCCUCAGUUGCCCAAGUUCAUAACUUCAUUUUGUCGUUUACUUUUCGUAGGUUGCAGAACAACUAUUUGGUAUUUUUGAAGAAACUGAUGAGGAUAAGGUUUUACCACCUUCGGAAAGAGUUGAGGAAAUGUUAGAUAAAGUCUGGAACAUAAAAACUCCUAAGUUUUUGCUUUGUCUGCUUCAUAAGGAAAAUAAUAUAUAUGGUUAGUUCUUUGAUAUAUUUUCAUGUUCUGUUUAUUUUUUUUUAAUGCAAUUGUUAUAUGCCCUUAAUCCAAAUUAAUUGGCUAUGCGAAGGUCCAUGGAAGAAGGCAUUUCCUGUUAAUCGUGGAAUUUUUACACUGUGCAUAGCUACUCCAAAUAAGAAGGCCGUAAACAUGUAUCUGGCAAAUGUGUUGUUGAAGAAAUCAACAACACAUUUACCGAAUACUGCUUGUUUACGGCCUUCCUUCUUAUCUGGAGGAGGUAUGCAUUGUGUAAAAAUUCCAUGAUCAACAAGACAUGCCUUUUUCUAUGGACCUUCACAUAGCCAAUUAAUUUGGAUUAAGAAGGGCAUAUAACAGUUGAGUUAAAAAAAGUAAACAGAACGUGAAAAUAUAUCAAAGAACUAACCAUAUAUAUUAUUUUUCUUGUGAAGCAGACAAAACAAAAAUUUAGGAGUUUUUACAUUCCGGACUUUAUCUAACAUUUCCUCAACUCUUUUCGAAGGUGGUAAAACCUUAUCCUCAUCAGUUUCUUCCAAAAUACCAAAUGGUUGUUCUGCAACCUACGAAAAGUAAACAGAAUGAAGUUAAGAACUUGACGAGAUUUUUAUGCUUAUCGGUUAAUAUGUUGUAACAGACUUACAAUUUCGUUGGUUUUCCUGGAUUUAAUCAACCGCUUCAUAAAGGUACUCGAAUCUAAUAGACAAGAAAAGUUUACAACACCCUACUUCUCUAUUGUAACAGCUUUCUUCAUUUUCUAGAAGCAUUAUUAAAUCAUUAGGGAAUGAUUAAAA